UUAAAUUGAAGAGUUUGAUCAUGGCUCAGAUUGAACGCUGGCGGCAGGCCUAACACAUGCAAGUCGAACGGUAACAGGAAACAGCUUGCUGUUUCGCUGACGAGUGGCGGACGGGUGAGUAAUGUCUGGGAAACUGCCUGAUGGAGGGGGAUAACUACUGGAAACGGUAGCUAAUACCGCAUAACGUCGCAAGACCAAAGAGGGGGACCUUCGGGCCUCUUGCCAUCGGAUGUGCCCAGAUGGGAUUAGCUUGUUGGUGGGGUAACGGCUCACCAAGGCGACGAUCCCUAGCUGGUCUGAGAGGAUGACCAGCCACACUGGAACUGAGACACGGUCCAGACUCCUACGGGAGGCAGCAGUGGGGAAUAUUGCACAAUGGGCGCAAGCCUGAUGCAGCCAUGCCGCGUGUAUGAAGAAGGCCUUCGGGUUGUAAAGUACUUUCAGCGGGGAGGAAGGGAGUAAAGUUAAUACCUUUGCUCAUUGACGUUACCCGCAG
Molecule: ribosomal RNA, 496 nt
Filed under: Shigella sonnei
Lineage: Bacteria; Pseudomonadati; Pseudomonadota; Gammaproteobacteria; Enterobacterales; Enterobacteriaceae
Description: bacterial SSU rRNA
Rfam family: Bacterial small subunit ribosomal RNA
Source: RNAcentral